CUCUAUCUCUCUGUUCUCUCUAUUCUCUGCGUCAUCGUCAUCAACGUUCAUCUCCUUCUCUCUCUUCUGCGACUGCUCUUUCUCUCUCUAAAACCUCUCCUCCUCAAAGAUAUAACGGCAUCUUCCCUCCUCUUCCCUUUCUCUCUCUAUCUCUAGACCUUCUAUCUCGGAGCAACCGAAAAUCCGCGCCUGUUCCUCCUCGAAGAUCUCCAUCGCACGACCGCUUCCUCACACGCGCACUCCGAAGCGGCCCCGCUCCUGCCUCGUGGUCUCCGUCGGAAUCCCCGGGGCGCUGCCCGCGUGCGUGCCGUUCGUCGGCGGAGAUGGUGGUGAAGAUGAUGCGGCGGUGGCGGCCGUGGCCGCCGCUGGCGGCGAGGAAGUACGAGGUCCGGCUGGUGGUGGAGCGGCUCGAGGGGUGCGAUCCGGUGGCGCCGGCGGCGGAGGGCGGGGGAUGGCGGUGGAGGUCCGGUGGAAGGGCCCGAAGCUGGCCCUGAUGGUGAUGCGCCGCAAUGCCGUGAAGCGGAACUUCACGAGGGAGGAGCGCGUGGGCGAGGGCGGCGCGGUGUGCUGGAACGAGGAGUUCGAGAGCGUGUGCACGCUCUCGGAGUACAAGGAGAACGCGUUUCAUCCCUGGGAGAUCGCCUUCACCGUCUUCAACGGCUUGAACCAAGGAUUGAAGAACAAAGUUCCGAUUGUUGGAGUGGCAUCGCUAAAUCUCUCAGAAUUCGCUUCAGCUGCGGAACAAAAGGAAUUUGAACUGAGUAUUCCUCUCACACUCCCUGGUGUUUCCACGGAUUCUCCGCCGCUGCUGUCUAUAUCUCUCAACUUAGUGGAGCUGAGAACCUCUCGGGAAGCUGCAAACCCGAUCGAGAGAUCGAUAGUGCCUAGUCAAUCCCCACAGCAGUGUGGGGAAGCUGUUUCAGCAGAAAAAGAUGAACUUUCUGCCCUCAAAGCGGGUCUUAAGAAGGUGAAGUUACUCACUGAUUACAUGUCUGCCAGGAGAGCCAAAAAGGCUUGUCUUGAUGAAGAGGGCAGCGAUGGAAAGUGUUCUGCCAAGAGUGAGGAUGGAGAGUACACUUAUCCACUGGAUUCUGACUCUCCAGAUGUUUCUGAGGAAGAGGAAUCGGAUGAAGGAAAGGAAAACUCCAACGUUAGAAAGUCAUUUAGCUAUGGAACACUGGCCUAUGCAAAUUGUGCGGGAGGCUCAUUUUACUCCAAUGCUAGAAUUUCUGGCGAAAUUGAAGAUUGGAUCUACUAUAGUCAUCGAAAAUCUGAUGUGGGUUGCUCAAGUAAUGAGGAUCCAUUUGCUUCAGUCUCUGAACAAUCACAGCCACAAGGUUCAAAGCGACGCAUACUGUCCUGGCGGAAGAGGAAGCUGAGCUUCAGGUCUCCCAAAGCAAAGGGGGAGCCCUUAUUGAAGAAGGCAUAUGCAGAGGAAGGUGGGGAUGACAUUGAUUACUAUCGUCGCCAGCUUAGCUCAGAUGAAUCUCUCUCUUUGGGGUGGAGUAAGACUGAGGAAGAUUCUUCUGCAAAUCGAUCAUCGGUGUCUGAAUUUGGAGACGAUAAUUUUGCCGUUGGCAGUUGGGAGAGAAAGGAGGUUACAAGCCGUGAUGGACUCAUGAAGCUUCAAACACAAGUCUUCUUUGCUUCCAUUGACCAGCGAAGCGAGCGUGCUGCCGGCGAAAGUGCAUGCACUGCCCUUGUUGCUGUAAUUGCUGAUUGGUUCCAAGCAAAUCGUGAUCUAAUGCCAAUCAAGUCCCAGUUUGACAGUCUCAUCAGAGAUGGAUCAUUAGAGUGGAGGAAUCUGUGUGAUAAUGAAGCAUACAGAGAACGAUUUCCUGACAAGCACUUUGACCUUGAGACAGUUCUCCAAGCCAAGAUCCGUCCUCUUUCCGUUGUUCCUGAAAAGUCAUUUAUUGGGUUUUUCCAUCCAGAGGGUAUGGAUGAAGGAAGAUUUGACUUUCUACAUGGUGCUAUGUCCUUCGAUAACAUUUGGGAUGAGGUCAGUCGUGCUGGAUCAGAUGGUCCUAGUAAUGGUGAACCCCAUCUUUAUAUCGUCAGCUGGAACGACCACUUCUUCAUCCUCAAGGUCGAACCAGAAGCUUACUAUAUAAUCGACACGCUUGGCGAGAGGCUGUAUGAGGGUUGCAGUCAGGCCUACAUCUUGAAAUUUGAUCGGGUACAAGUAUUCACAAGCUGCUAAACACAGUUCAACCACCUGAGGACAAAACCGCCACUGAUCAGAACAAUCAGCAAACUGACCAGGUCAAUCCCAAGGAAGAGGGUCCUGUGGCGGAAGGGGCAGUGGUUCCCGAGCCUGAAGAGCAGACCAAGACUAAUGAGGCAGAGGAGAUUGUCUGUCAGGGUAAGGAGUCAUGUAAAGAGUAUAUCAAGAGCUUCUUGGCUGCGAUUCCUCUGAGGGAGUUGCAAGCAGAUAUAAAGAAAGGCCUGGCAUCGACGCCUCUUCACCAACGGUUACAGAUUGAAUUCCAUUACACACGGUUUUUGCAACCAAUGACCAUGACUACCUCGUCUGCCGAGGUUGCGGCAGCUGUGCCGCAAGCUAUCGAAGGUGCAACUGCAGAAGCAGCCUGCCCUGGUGUUUCCUGUGAAUAGUCGAAGGGAUAAUUACUGACAUGUUUGAAGUUGUUGAGGGUGUUGCACGAUUAACCACGUGGAUCUAAUUUGAGCUCGUGCUUGGUAUAUAGAGGAUGUCUGUUUUAACUCUUCCCCAGAAAUGAAAAGUUUAAAAUUUCCAAUGUCUGAAACCAUCUGCUUGCAUUUUUUUGUGGGUUUUCUAUUUCGUUCUAGACAGAUCAAUGUCUUUGGAUUAUCUCAUUCGUCGCAAUCCGCUUUUCAAAAUCUGAAUUAUUUGGGAGCAGCUCUCUUGUUUAGGCAUCUUCCCAAAUGCCCUUUUAGCUUAAAGACAUUGGGAAUUCCCAAAAUGUCCCGUCAUUGUACACAUUCCUUUUAUUAUUUUUUGUCAAUUUGAUGUGCUCCUCACAAUGAGGUGACGUUCACCAGAA
This is an RNA transcript of Eucalyptus grandis, 3026 nucleotides long. RefSeq lists it as uncharacterized. The transcript is spliced from 4 exons. Lineage: Eukaryota; Viridiplantae; Streptophyta; Magnoliopsida; Myrtales; Myrtaceae. The record is from RefSeq and is a predicted model, not a curated record.